Molecule: ribosomal RNA, 686 nt
Filed under: uncultured Alphaproteobacteria bacterium
Lineage: Bacteria; Pseudomonadati; Pseudomonadota; Alphaproteobacteria
Description: bacterial SSU rRNA
Rfam family: Bacterial small subunit ribosomal RNA
Source: RNAcentral
UCGGAACAACACAGGGAAACUUGUGCUAAUACCGGAUAAGCCCUUACGGGGAAAGAUUUAUCGCCGAAAGAUCGGCCCGCGUCUGAUUAGCUAGUUGGUGAGGUAACGGCUCACCAAGGCGACGAUCAGUAGCUGGUCUGAGAGGAUGAUCAGCCACAUUGGGACUGAGACACGGCCCAAACUCCUACGGGAGGCAGCAGUGGGGAAUAUUGGACAAUGGGCGCAAGCCUGAUCCAGCCAUGCCGCGUGAGUGAUGAAGGCCCUAGGGUUGUAAAGCUCUUUUGUGCGGGAAGAUAAUGACGGUACCGCAAGAAUAAGCCCCGGCUAACUUCGUGCCAGCAGCCGCGGUAAUACGAAGGGGGCUAGCGUUGCUCGGAAUCACUGGGCGUAAAGGGUGCGUAGGCGGGUCUUUAAGUCAGAGGUGAAAUCCUGGAGCUCAACUCCAGAACUGCCUUUGAUACUGAGGGUCUUGAGUUCGGGAGAGGUGAGUGGAACUGCGAGUGUAGAGGUGGAAUUCGUAGAUAUUCGCAAGAACACCAGUGGCGAAGGCGGCUCACUGGCCCGAUACUGACGCUGAGGCACGAAAGCGUGGGGAGCAAACAGGAUUAGAUACCCUGGUAGUCCACGCCGUAAACGAUAAAUGCCAGCCGUUAGUGGGUUUACUCACUAGUGGCGCAGCUAACGCU